This 345-nucleotide unclassified non-coding RNA is filed under the name soil metagenome. RNAcentral's name for it is "partial contains 5.8S ribosomal RNA, internal transcribed spacer 2, and large subunit ribosomal RNA". The stretch from base 1 to 120 matches the Rfam family "5.8S ribosomal RNA", at positions 35 to 154 of the family's 154-position model. The record is from RNAcentral.
GAUGAAGAACGCAGCGAAAUGCGAUACGUAAUGUGAAUUGCAGAAUUCAGUGAAUCAUCGAGUCUUUGAACGCACAUUGCGCCCCCUGGUAUUCCGGGGGGCAUGCCUGUCCGAGCGUCAUUGCUGCCUUCAAGCACGGCUUGUGUGUUGGGCCUCCGUCCUCCUCCCGGGGGACGGGCCCGAAAGGCAGCGGCGGCACCGCGUCCGGUCCUCGAGCGUAUGGGGCUUCGUCACCCGCUCUUGUAGGCCCGGCCGGCGCUUGCCGACACAUCAAUCUUUUUUCCAGGUUGACCUCGGAUCAGGUAGGGAUACCCGCUGAACUUAAGCAUAUCAAUAAGCGGAGGA